Molecule: ribosomal RNA, 119 nt
Filed under: Pteropus alecto (black flying fox)
Lineage: Eukaryota; Metazoa; Chordata; Mammalia; Chiroptera; Pteropodidae
Source: RNAcentral
GUCUACAGCCAUGCUACCCUGAACAAGCCCGAUCCCGUCUGAUCUCGGAAGCUAAGCAGGGUCAAGCCUGGUUAGUACUUGGAUGGGAGACCACCUAAGAAGACCUGGUGCUGUAAGCA